Molecule: ribosomal RNA, 370 nt
Filed under: uncultured prokaryote
Description: bacterial SSU rRNA
Rfam family: Bacterial small subunit ribosomal RNA
Source: RNAcentral
UACGGAGGACCCGAGCGUUAUCCGGAUUCAUUGGGUUUAAAGGGUGCGUAGGCGGCCCGGUCAGUCAGCGGUGAAAUGCCUGCGCUUCACGCAGGAACUGCCGUUGAUACUGCCGGGCUAGAAUCUUAGCGAGGCGGGCGGAAUGCGCAGUGUAGCGGUGAAAUGCAUAGAUAUUGCGCAGAACGCCGAUUGGGGAGCCAGCUCGCCAGCUGAGUAUUGACGCUGAGGCACGAAAGCGUGGGGAUCAAACAGGAUUAGAUACCCUGGUAGUCCACGCCGUAAACGAUGAUAACUCGCUCUUGGUCUGCAAGGAUCUGGGGCUUAGCGAAAGCGUUAAGUUAUCCACCUGGGGAGUACGCCGGCAACGGUG